GUAGGUGGCAAGCGUUGUCCGGAAUUAUUGGGCGUAAAGCGCGCGCAGGCGGUUCUUUAAGUCUGAUGCGAAAGCCCACGGCUCAACCGUGGAGGGUCAUUGGAAACUGGAGAACUUGAGUACAGAAGAGGAAAGCGGAAUUCCACGUGUAGCGGUGAAAUGCGUAGAGAUGUGGAGGAACACCAGUGGCGAAGGCGGCUUUCUGGUCUGUAACUGACGCUGAGGCGCGAAAGCGUGGGGAGCAAACAGGAUUAGAUACCCUGGUAGUCCACGCCGUAAACGAUGAGUGCUAAGUGUUAGGGGGGUUUCCGCCCCCCUUAGUGCUGCAGCUAACGCAUUAAGCACUCCGCCGGGGGAGUACGGCCGCAAGGCUG
Molecule: ribosomal RNA, 374 nt
Filed under: uncultured organism
Description: partial 16S ribosomal RNA
Rfam family: Bacterial small subunit ribosomal RNA
Source: RNAcentral